AGUGAACGCUGGCGGUAGGCCUAACACAUGCAAGUCGAACGGCAGCACAGUAAGAGCUUGCUCUUACGGGUGGCGAGUGGCGGACGGGUGAGGAAUACAUCGGGAUCUACUUUUUCGUGGGGGAUAACGUAGGGAAACUUACGCUAAUACCGCAUACGACCUACGGGUGAAAGCAGGGGAUCUUCGGACCUUGCGCGAUUGAAUGAGCCGAUGUCGGAUUAGCUAGUUAGCGGGGUAAAGGCCCACCAAGGCGACGAUCCGUAGCUGGUCUGAGAGGAUGAUCAGCCACACUGGAACUGAGACACGGUCCAGACUCCUACGGGAGGCAGCAGUGGGGAAUAUUGGACAAUGGGCGCAAGCCUGAUCCAGCCAUACCGCGUGGGUGAAGAAGGCCUUCGGGUUGUAAAGCCCUUUUGUUGGGAAAGAAAAGCAGCAGGUUAAUACCCCGCUGUUCUGACGGUACCCAAAGAAUAAGCACCGGCUAACUUCGUG
Molecule: ribosomal RNA, 492 nt
Filed under: uncultured bacterium
Lineage: Bacteria
Description: partial 16S ribosomal RNA
Rfam family: Bacterial small subunit ribosomal RNA
Source: RNAcentral